RNAcentral lists this ribosomal RNA (490 nucleotides) under uncultured bacterium. Its description in RNAcentral is "partial 16S ribosomal RNA". It matches the Rfam family "Bacterial small subunit ribosomal RNA", at positions 28 to 507 of the family's 1533-position model. The record is from RNAcentral.
GAUGAACGCUAGCUACAGGCUUAACACAUGCAAGUCGCGGGGCAGCAUGGGGGUUGCUUGCAAUCCCCGAUGGCGACCGGCGCACGGGUGAGUAACGCGUAUCCAACCUGCCCUUCACCACGGGAUAACCCGGCGAAAGUCGGACUAAUACCGUAUGUUGUCCAUUGACGGCAUCCGAUUUGGACGAAAGGUUUGGCGGUGAAGGAUGGGGAUGCGUCCGAUUAGCUGGACGGCGGGGUGACGGCCCACCGUGGCGACGAUCGGUAGGGGUUCUGAGAGGAAGGUCCCCCACACUGGAACUGAGACACGGUCCAGACGCCUACGGGAGGCAGCAGUGAGGAAUAUUGGUCAAUGGGCGUAAGCCUGAACCAGCCAAGUAGCGUGCAGGAUGACGGCCCUAUGGGUUGUAAACUGCUUUUAUGCGGGGAUAAAGUGGCCCACGUGUGGGUUUUUGCAGGUACCGCAUGAAUAAGGACCGGCUAAUUCCGUG